This 429-nucleotide ribosomal RNA is filed under the name Chloroflexota bacterium. RNAcentral's name for it is "Chloroflexi bacterium partial 16S ribosomal RNA". It matches the Rfam family "Bacterial small subunit ribosomal RNA", at positions 355 to 776 of the family's 1533-position model. The record is from RNAcentral. Lineage: Bacteria; Bacillati; Chloroflexota.
UGGGGAAUAUUGCACAAUGGGCGCAAGCCUGAUGCAGCCAUGCCGCGUGUAUGAAGAAGGCCUUCGGGUUGUAAAGUACUUUCAGCGGGGAGGAAGGGAGUAAAGUUAAUACCUUUGCUCAUUGACGUUACCCGCAGAAGAAGCACCGGCUAACUCCGUGCCAGCAGCCGCGGUAAUACGGAGGGUGCAAGCGUUAAUCGGAAUUACUGGGCGUAAAGCGCACGCAGGCGGUUGAUUGAGUCAGAUGUGAAAUCCCCGGGCUUAACCCGGGAAUUGCAUCUGAUACUGGUCAGCUAGAGUCUUGAAGAGGGGGGUAGAAUUCCAUGUGUAGCGGUGAAAUGCGUAGAGAUGUGGAGGAAUACCGGUGGCGAAGGCGGCCCCCUGGACAAAGACUGACGCUCAGGUGCGAAAGCGUGGGGAGCAAACAGG